CAUGUUUGGUCCUGACUUUGAUGUCGGCUUUGAUUCCGAUUACACAUGCAAGACUCCCCACACCAGUGAGAAUGCCCCCACCCCUCUCAUGAGGGAGAGGAGCCGGUAUCAGGCUCAACCUCUGGCCCAAGACGCCCCGCUCAGCCACACCCCCAAGGGAAUUCAGCAGUGAUAGACAUUAAGCCAUGAGCGGAAGCUCGACUUAGCGAGAAUCUAAAGGGCCGGUAAAACUCGUGCCAGCCACCGCGGUUAUACGAGGGACCCUAGUCGACAGAUCUCCGGCGUAAAGAGUGGUUAUGGACUUAGAUUAUAAAGCCGAUAUCAUCUCUGGCUGUUAUACGCAACCAGAUGUUUAUAGUCCCCUAGCGAAAGUAGCUUUAGUAAACCAGAACCCACUACAGCAAGAGCCCAAACUGGGAUUAGAUACCCCACUAUGCCUUGCCAUAAACCUAGACACUUUUUCACAACACCUGUCCGCCUGGGGACUACGGGCUUUAGCUUAAAACCCAAAGGACUUGACGGUGCUUCAGAACCCCCUAGAGGAGCCUGUUCUAGAACCGAUGAUCCCCGUUCAACCUCACCACCCCUUGUCAUCCCCGCCUAUAUACCGCCGUCGCCAGCCUACCCCGUGAGUGCAAUGAAGUGAGCAGAGUGGUUUUCACCUACACGUCAGGUCGAGGUGUAGCGCACGGGGUGGGAAGAGAUGGGCUACAUUGCCUGACCCAGAUAAACACGAACGACCCCUUGAAAUUGGGGGCUGAAGGUGGAUUUAGCAGUAAUGGUGAAAUAGAGUGUCACCCUGAAGCCGGCUCUGAAGCGCGUACACACCGCCCGUCACUCUCCCCUAGCCUUAACAUCACAUUAGUUAACCCAUGGUACUGCCUCAAGGGGAGGCAAGUCGUAACAUGGUAAGUGUACCGGAAGGUGCACUUGGAAGAAU
This 940-nucleotide non-coding RNA is filed under the name Jenkinsia sp. CL54. Its description in RNAcentral is "12S rRNA". It matches the Rfam family "Bacterial small subunit ribosomal RNA". The record is from RNAcentral. Lineage: Eukaryota; Metazoa; Chordata; Actinopteri; Clupeiformes; Clupeidae.